GAUGAAGAACGCAGCGAAAUGCGAUAAGUAAUGUGAAUUGCGGAAUUCAGUGAAUCAUCGAAUCUUUGAACGCACAUUGCGCCCGCCAGUAUUCUGGCGGGCAUGCCUGUCUGAGCGUCAUUUCAACCCUCAUGCCCCUAGGGCGUGGUGUUGGGGAUCGGCCAAAGCCCGCGAGGGACGGCCGGCCCCUAAAUCUAGUGGCGGACCCGUCGUGGCCUCCUCUGCGAAGUAGUGAUAUUCCGCAUCGGAGAGCGACGAGCCCCUGCCGUUAAACCCCCAACUUUCCAAGGUUGACCUCAGAUCAGGUAGGAAUACCCGCUGAACUUAAGCAUAUCAAUAAGCGGAGGA
This 348-nucleotide unclassified non-coding RNA is filed under the name soil metagenome. RNAcentral describes it as "partial contains 5.8S ribosomal RNA, internal transcribed spacer 2, and large subunit ribosomal RNA". The stretch from base 1 to 120 matches the Rfam family "5.8S ribosomal RNA", at positions 35 to 154 of the family's 154-position model. The record is from RNAcentral.